AACCGGGGGAACUGAAACAUCUAAGUACCCGAAGGAAAGGACAUCAACCGAGACUCCGUCAGUAGCGGCGAGCGAACGCGGACCAGGCCAGUGGCGAUUGGGAGACAAGCGGAACAUUCUGGAAAGGAUGGCCAUAGUGGGUGACAGCCCCGUACGCGUAAUGCAACCAAUCGUCCUCGAGUAAGGCGGGACACGUGAAAUCCUGUCUGAACAUGGGGGGACCACCCUCCAAGCCUAAGUACUCGUGCAUGACCGAUAGCGAACCAGUACCGUGAGGGAAAGGUGAAAAGAACCCCGACAAGGGGAGUGAAAGAGUCCCUGAAACCGGAUGCUUACAAACAGUAGGAGGGCGAAAGCCUGACUGCGUACCUUUUGUAUAAUGGGUCAGCGACUUAAUCUGACGAGCAAGCUUAAGCCGAUAGGUGUAGGCGCAGCGAAAGCGAGUCUGAACAGGG
Molecule: ribosomal RNA, 455 nt
Filed under: Heterosigma akashiwo
Lineage: Eukaryota; Raphidophyceae; Chattonellales; Chattonellaceae
Description: partial Bacterial large subunit ribosomal RNA
Rfam family: Bacterial large subunit ribosomal RNA
Source: RNAcentral